UAUUUCCUAGAAUAAGUCUUUUUAAUCGCGUCUACAAUUAAUAUCGCCAUUUUGAGACAUAUCUACGACUUGUGCAGGCUAAAACUAUGAAUACUUCGGGUGUUCCGGAAAGAGAUUCACGGGAAAACGACCAAACAGUUUCACGUCCUUUUGACUACACCCGUAGGCCUCCAGAAAAUGACCAUUAUCAAGGAGCUGGAACUAUACCACUGCCAGUUCAACGUGGUAAUAGUUUAGGAUUUUCUCGAAGCCCAGAAGAUUCGGAUGUUCCGGAAAGAGGUUCCUUGGAAAACGAACCAACAGUUUUAGAAUCUUUUGACUAUACCCGUAGGCCUCCAGAAAUUAGCCAUUAUCAGGGAGAUGCAAUUAGACCAGUGCCGGUUCUUGAACCUGAUUAUAGCUUACCAUUUUCUCAAAGCUCACAAGGCACCGGACUUCCUAUUCCAUCAUGGAUUCCGUCACUUCCAGGUUAUACUAGUCCACCUCUUGCAGAGCCUUAUUUGAAUAGGUACGUAAACAAUGACAAAAAUCGUCGAUUAAGAAGAGUUGGGAUGGUUAUUGGCUCGAAGGUAGAUUCAUCGCCAAAGAAGCCGAAACAGAAACCAAAUGAAGUCACCCUAAAUGUUAAUGUUUCGAACAAAGGGCUCAAUAUUUUUAUCUUUAUAUUUAUUUUAAUAAUCGUUCUCUUCAUAAUAUAUUGGAUGGUGUCUCCCAGUGAUAAUCGAGAAUCUGAAAUUACUACUGAAGUGUGAUUGACCAAUCUGUCUUUGACGUACUGGAUGUAAAAGCAAAAGUUACGGUGUUUUGGUGAGAAAUCUGCUAAUGGAACUUCUAAUCUCACUAAGAACUUUCAGUGCUUUCUUGUCUACUUUUUAAAUUCUAUGUACCUUUAUGUUUUUUGUUCAAAGGAUAUUAUCAUAUAUUAUAGCUGUGUUUUUUUGUGAGCUUUUAUUAUGUCAAUAAAAUAGGCCGUGGAAACAUGGCGGUUGUGUGUA
Molecule: long non-coding RNA, 995 nt
Organism: Patella vulgata (common limpet)
Lineage: Eukaryota; Metazoa; Mollusca; Gastropoda; Patellidae
Exons: 4
Source: RefSeq, a predicted model, not a curated record